This 402-nucleotide ribosomal RNA is filed under the name Fusobacteriota bacterium. RNAcentral's name for it is "Fusobacteria bacterium partial 16S ribosomal RNA". It matches the Rfam family "Bacterial small subunit ribosomal RNA", at positions 355 to 776 of the family's 1533-position model. The record is from RNAcentral. Lineage: Bacteria; Fusobacteriati; Fusobacteriota.
UGGGGAAUUUUGCACAAUGGGGGAAACCCUGAUGCAGCGACGCCGCGUGAUUUAGAAGGCCUUCGGGUUGUAAAAAUCUUUUCUAUGGGAAGAAAAUGACAGUACCAUAGGAAUAAGGACCGGCUAAUUACGUGCCAGCAGCCGCGGUAAUACGUAAGGUCCGAGCGUUGUCCGGAAUCAUUGGGCGUAAAGGGUACGUAGGCGGGUAAGCAAGUUAGAAGUGAAAUCCUAUAGCUCAACUAUAGUAAGCUUUUAAAACUGCUCAUCUUGAGGUAUGGAAGGGAAAGUGGAAUUCCUAGGGUAGCGGUGAAAUGCGCAGAUAUUAGGGGGAAUACCGGUGGCGAAGGCGACUUUCUGGCCAUAACCUGACGCUGAGGUACGAAAGCGUGGGUAGCAAACAGG